UGUGGGAGCGAGCCUGCUCGCGAUGGCGUCGGAUCAGUGCCAUUGAUGUUGAUUGACCCACCGCUAUCGCGAGCAGGCUCGCUCCCACA
RNAcentral lists this unclassified non-coding RNA (89 nucleotides) under Pseudomonas sp. A214. Lineage: Bacteria; Pseudomonadati; Pseudomonadota; Gammaproteobacteria; Pseudomonadales; Pseudomonadaceae. The record is from RNAcentral.